UGGGGAGUAACUCAGUGGUAGAGUGAUCGGCUGUUAACCGAUUUGUCGUGGGUUCAAAUCCCACUUCCCCAGCCA
RNAcentral lists this transfer RNA (75 nucleotides) under Candidatus Poribacteria bacterium. Its description in RNAcentral is "tRNA-Asn". It matches the Rfam family "tRNA". Rfam says of the family: Transfer RNA (tRNA) molecules are approximately 80 nucleotides in length. Their secondary structure includes four short double-helical elements and three loops (D, anti-codon, and T loops). Further hydrogen bonds mediate the characteristic L-shaped molecular structure. tRNAs have two regions of fundamental functional importance: the anti-codon, which is responsible for specific mRNA codon recognition, and the 3' end, to which the tRNAs corresponding amino acid is attached (by aminoacyl-tRNA synthetases). tRNAs cope with the degeneracy of the genetic code in two manners: having more than one tRNA (with a specific anti-codon) for a particular amino acid; and 'wobble' base-pairing, i.e. permitting non-standard base-pairing at the 3rd anti-codon position. The record is from RNAcentral. Lineage: Bacteria; Candidatus Poribacteria.